Molecule: ribosomal RNA, 497 nt
Filed under: uncultured bacterium
Lineage: Bacteria
Description: partial 16S ribosomal RNA
Rfam family: Bacterial small subunit ribosomal RNA
Source: RNAcentral
GAUGAACGCUGGCGGCGUGCCUAGUACAUGCAAGUCGAGCGAACGGACGAGAAGCUUGCUUCUCUGAUGUUAGCGGCGGACGGGUGAGUAACACGUGGAUAACCUACCUAUAAGACUGGGAUAACUUCGGGAAACCGGAGCUAAUACCGGAUAAUAUUUUGAACCGCAUGGUUCAAAAGUGAAAGACGGUCUUGCUGUCACUUAUAGAUGGAUCCGCGCUGCAUUAGCUAGUUGGUAAGGUAACGGCUUACCAAGGCAACGAUGCAUAGCCGACCUGAGAGGGUGAUAGGCCACCCUGGAACUGGGACACGGUCCAGACUCCUACGGGAGGCAGCAGUAGGGAAUCUUCCGCAAUGGGCGAAAGCCUGACGGAGCAACGCCGCGUGAGUGAUGAAGGUCUUCGGAUCGUAAAACUCUGUUAUUAGGGAAGAACAUAUGUGUAAGUAACUGUGCACAUCUUGACGGUACCUAAUCAGAAAGCCACGGCUAACUACGUG